Molecule: ribosomal RNA, 402 nt
Filed under: uncultured bacterium
Lineage: Bacteria
Description: bacterial SSU rRNA
Rfam family: Bacterial small subunit ribosomal RNA
Source: RNAcentral
UCGGGAAUUUUGGGCAAUGGGCGAAAGCCUGACCCAGCAACGCCGCGUGAGGGAUGAAGUAUUUCGGUAUGUAAACCUCGAAAGAAUGGGAAGAAUAAAUGACGGUACCAUUUAUAAGCUCCGGCUAACUACGUGCCAGCAGCCGCGGUAAUACGUAGGGAGCAAGCGUUGUUCGGAUUUACUGGGCGUAAAGGGCGCGUAGGCGGCGCGGUAAGUCACUUGUGAAAUCUCUGAGCUUAACUCAGAACGGCCAAGUGAUACUGCUGUGCUAGAGUGCGGAAGAGGCAACCGGAAUUCUUGGUGUAGCGGUGAAAUGCGUAGAUAUCAAGAGGAACACCUGAGGCGAAGGCGGGUUGCGGGGCCGACACUGACGCUGAUGCGCGAAAGCCAGGGGAGCAAACG